UUAGAGUUUGAUCCUGGUUCAGGAUGAACGCUAGCGACAGGCUUAACACAUGCAAGUCGAGGGGCAACACAGGUAGCAGUACUGGGUGGCGACCGGCGCACGGGUGCGUAACGCGUAUGCAACCUACCUAUAAUAGGGGGAUAGCCUUCUGAAAGGGAGAUUAAUACCGCAUAACACAACUGAGUCGCAUGAUUUAGUUGUUAAAUAUUCAUAGAUUAUAGAUGGGCAUGCGUCUGAUUAGAUAGUUGGUGAGGUAACGGCUCACCAAGUCGACGAUCAGUAGGGGUUCUGAGAGGAAGGUCCCCCACACCGGAACUGAGACACGGUCCGGACUCCUCCGGGAGGCAGCAGUGAGGAAAAUUGGGUCAAUGGGCGAGGAGCUUGAACCAGCCAAGUCGUGUGAAGGAAGAAGGUCUUAUGGAUUGUAAACUUCUUUUACAGGGGAAUAAAGAUGAGUUCGAGUACUCAGUUGUAGGUACCCUGGGAAUAAGGAUCGGCUAACUCCGUGCCAGCAGCCGCGGUAAUACGGAGGAUUCGAGCGUUAUCCGGAUUUAUUGGGUUUAAAGGGUGCGCAGGCGGGUUGAUAAGUCAGUGGUGAAAGGUUUACGCUUAACGUAGACAUUGCCAUUGAAACUGUCGAUCUUGAGUACAAAUGAGGUAGGCGGAAUGUGUUGUGUAGCGGUGAAAUCCAUAGAUAUGACACAGAACACCGAUUGCGAAGGCAGCUUACUGGGAUGUAACUGACGCUCAGGCACGAAAGCGUGGGGAUCAAACAGGAUUAGAUACCCUGGUAGUCCACGCAGUAAA
Molecule: ribosomal RNA, 807 nt
Filed under: uncultured bacterium
Lineage: Bacteria
Description: bacterial SSU rRNA
Rfam family: Bacterial small subunit ribosomal RNA
Source: RNAcentral